This 483-nucleotide ribosomal RNA is filed under the name uncultured bacterium. RNAcentral describes it as "bacterial SSU rRNA". It matches the Rfam family "Bacterial small subunit ribosomal RNA", at positions 16 to 518 of the family's 1533-position model. The record is from RNAcentral.
UUACUGGCUCAGGACGAACGCUGGCGGCAUGCUUCAUACAUGCAAGUCGAACGAUAAGGUCUCUUCGGAGAUACAUAAGUGGCGGACGGGUGAGUAAUAUGUAGGAAAUCUGCCCUUGAGAGGGGGACAACAGAGGGAAACUUCUGCUAAUACCCCAUAUGAGCGUACCUGAAAUGGUAUUCUUGAAAACUCCGGUGCUCAAGGAUGAGCCUGCAUCUGAUUAGCUUGUUGGCGGUGUAAUGGACCACCAAGGCGACGAUCAGUAGCUGGUUUGAGAGGAUGAUCAGCCACAAUGGGACUGAGACACGGCCCAUACUCCUACGGGAGGCAGCAGUAGGGAAUUUUGCGCAAUGGGCGAAAGCCUGAACCGCAGCAAUGCCGCGUGAACGUAGAAGCCCUUCGGGGUGUAAAGUUCUGUCAGUGGGGACGAAUAAUGACGGUACCCACAGAGGAAGCACCGGCUAACUCCGUGCCAGCCGCCGC